This 412-nucleotide long non-coding RNA is filed under the name Coturnix japonica (Japanese quail). Its description in RNAcentral is "lncRNA (ENSCJPG00005018347.1)". The record is from RNAcentral. Lineage: Eukaryota; Metazoa; Chordata; Aves; Galliformes; Phasianidae.
AUGGAAUAUUGCAUUGCCAAGGCAAAUAAUUGAUUAUACAUUCUGAUAACGCUCUUUUCAUCUAUUUCAGGUAGUACUAUUAUCAGAAAUGUAAUGAUUUGGAGCUAUAAAUGAUGGAAGAUUUAUGUACAGUUUUCCAUAAGAAGUGGUUCUUCAGAACGGGCUUGGAUUUGUUCCUCCGUAUCUGCCUCUUGCCUCCUGCAUUUUAGAAGGUUUGAAAACCACUGCCAGGUAAGAGUUUCUUUUUGAUGUGUUUGAUGUUGCAGUCUCCUCUGUUCAUACUGCCAGUUCAUUUGCAGGUAUUCUGUCUAGUAGUUUUUCAUAAGUAAAUUUUACUAUUUAUUAGCAUAAGCUAGAAAGAUGAAGUAGUAAAGAAUUUGGACUCUUCCUUUCACAAACAGAAAGAAUUGAG